AUUUAUAUAGUAUAAUAAGUAUAUGUGACUUCCAAUUACAACGUCUAAUAAUAAUUAGUAUAAAUA
This 66-nucleotide transfer RNA is filed under the name Desmomyia sinensis. RNAcentral's name for it is "tRNA-Gly". The record is from RNAcentral. Lineage: Eukaryota; Metazoa; Arthropoda; Insecta; Diptera; Rhagionidae.